Molecule: ribosomal RNA, 406 nt
Filed under: uncultured bacterium
Lineage: Bacteria
Description: partial 16S ribosomal RNA
Rfam family: Bacterial small subunit ribosomal RNA
Source: RNAcentral
AUUGAACGCUGGCGGCAGGCCUAACACAUGCAAGUCGAACGAGUGGCGGACGGGUGAGUAAUGUCUGGGAAACUGCCCGAUGGAGGGGGAUAACUACUGGAAACGGUAGCUAAUACCGCAUACCAUCGGAUGUGCCCAGAUGGGAUUAGCUUGUUGGUGAGGUAACGGCUCACCUAGGCGACGAUCCCUAGCUGGUCUGAGAGGAUGACCAGCGUGAGUGGAACAGAGACACUGGCCAUGCUCCUACGGGAGGCAGCAGGGGGGAAUAUUGCACAAUGGGGGCAAGCCUGAUGCAGCCAGGCCGCGUGUAUGGAGAAGGCCUUAGGGUUGUAAAGUACUUUCAGCGGGGAGGCGUUACCCGCAGAAGAAGCACCGGCUAACUCCGUGCCAGCAGCCGCGGUAAUUC